UGCUGGGAGCAGCUCGUCAGCGUUGGUUCUCUGUGUGUGAAGGGUUUGUGGUGUCUGCUCUUGAGAUCGGUUAACAUCAUGAGUUUGGUUAAAUUCAUUCUACUGUUGGUUCUUUAUCAGCAGUUCAUAUGCAAUGUAUUUUGCUCUCCAGUUGAUGCUGGCUCUUUCAACUCUUUCUGGAGUGAUGAUGGGACAGGAGUUGGCAUUAAAGAAUCCCCCGGAAGUGGCAACGGCAGCAAUUAUGCUCCUGCGACCGCGGGCCCCGCCGCCCCCAGCAACGGCCCUGCCGCCGACGGCGCUCCUGUUACCGCGGGCCCCGCCACCCCCAGCAACGGCCCUGCCGCCGACGGCGCUCCUGU
Paramisgurnus dabryanus is the source of this 359-nucleotide long non-coding RNA. RefSeq lists it as uncharacterized. The record is from RefSeq and is a predicted model, not a curated record. NCBI's taxonomy places the organism in Eukaryota, Metazoa, Chordata, Actinopteri, Cypriniformes, Cobitidae.